Non-coding RNA from Desmophyllum pertusum, 85 nucleotides. The record is from the annotation of a GenBank genome assembly. Lineage: Eukaryota; Metazoa; Cnidaria; Anthozoa; Scleractinia; Caryophylliidae.
GACGCGGUGGCCUAAUGGUUAGCGCGCUGGACUCUGGAUCUCAGUAGCUGUCUGGGUUCGAGCCCUGGCUGGGGUGACUGUGUCG